This 463-nucleotide ribosomal RNA is filed under the name uncultured bacterium. RNAcentral's name for it is "bacterial SSU rRNA". It matches the Rfam family "Bacterial small subunit ribosomal RNA", at positions 28 to 489 of the family's 1533-position model. The record is from RNAcentral.
GAUGAACGCUGGCGGCGUGCCUAAUACAUGCAAGUCGAACGCUUCACAUAUGUGAAGAGUGGCGAACGGGUGAGUAAUACAUAAGUAACCUGGCCUUUACAGGGGGAUAACUGUUGGAAACGAUAGCUAAGACCGCAUAGGUGUGAUAACCGCAUGGAGAUGACAUGAAAUAUGCUACGGCAUAGGUAGAGGAUGGACUUAUGGCGCAUUAGCUAGUUGGAGGGGUAACGGCCCACCAAGGCGACGAUGCGUAGCCGACCUGAGAGGGUGACCGGCCACACUGGGACUGAGACACGGCCCAGACUCCUACGGGAGGCAGCAGUAGGGAAUUUUCGGCAAUGGGGGAAACCCUGACCGAGCAACGCCGCGUGAAGGAAGAAGUAAUUCGUUAUGUAAACUUCUGUCAUAGAGGAAGAACGGUGCGUGUAGGGAAUGACAUGCAAGUGACGGUACUCUAUAAGAA